UGGGGAGUACGGCCGCAAGGCUAAAACUCAAAGGAAUUGACGGGGACCCGCACAAGCGGCGGAGCAUGCGGAUUAAUUCGAUGCAACGCGAAGAACCUUACCAAGGCUUGACAUAUACGAGAACGGGCCAGAAAUGGUCAACUCUUUGGACACUCGUAAACAGGUGGUGCAUGGUUGUCGUCAGCUCGUGUCGUGAGAUGUUGGGUUAAGUCCCGCAACGAGCGCAACCCUCGUUCUAUGUUGCCAGCACGUAAUGGUGGGAACUCAUGGGAUACUGCCGGGGUCAACUCGGAGGAAGGUGGGGAUGACGUCAAAUCAUCAUGCCCCUUAUGUCUUGGGCUUCACGCAUGCUACAAUGGCCGGUACAAAGGGCUGCAAUACCGUGAGGUGGAGCGAAUCCCAAAAAGCCGGUCCCAGUUCGGAUUGAGGUCUGCAACUCGACCUCAUGAAGUCGGAGUCGCUAGUAAUCGCAGAUCAGCAACGCUGCGGUGAAUACGUUCCCGGGUCUUGUACACACCGCCCGUCAAGUCAUGAAAGUCGGUAACACCUGAAGCCGGUGGCCCAACCCUUGUGGAGGGAGCCGUCNAAGGUGGGAUCGGUAAUUA
This 605-nucleotide ribosomal RNA is filed under the name Microbacterium sp. RM12EL_26C. Its description in RNAcentral is "bacterial SSU rRNA". It matches the Rfam family "Bacterial small subunit ribosomal RNA", at positions 874 to 1477 of the family's 1533-position model. The record is from RNAcentral. Lineage: Bacteria; Bacillati; Actinomycetota; Actinomycetes; Micrococcales; Microbacteriaceae.